Molecule: ribosomal RNA, 746 nt
Filed under: Paenibacillus alvei
Lineage: Bacteria; Bacillati; Bacillota; Bacilli; Caryophanales; Paenibacillaceae
Description: bacterial SSU rRNA
Rfam family: Bacterial small subunit ribosomal RNA
Source: RNAcentral
GACGAACGCUGGCGGCGUGCCUAAUACAUGCAAGUCGAGCGGACUUGAUGGAGUGCUUGCACUCCUGAUGGUUAGCGGCGGACGGGUGAGUAACACGUAGGUAACCUGCCCAUAAGACUGGGAUAACCCACGGAAACGUGAGCUAAUACCAGAUAGGCAUUUUCCUCGCAUGAGGGAAAUGAGAAAGGCGGAGCAAUCUGUCACUUAUGGAUGGACCUGCGGCGCAUUAGCUAGUUGGUGAGGUAACGGCUCACCAAGGCGACGAUGCGUAGCCGACCUGAGAGGGUGAUCGGCCACACUGGGACUGAGACACGGCCCAGACUCCUACGGGAGGCAGCAGUAGGGAAUCUUCCGCAAUGGACGAAAGUCUGACGGAGCAACGCCGCGUGAGUGAUGAAGGUUUUCGGAUCGUAAAGCUCUGUUGCCAGGGAAGAACGCCUAGGAGAGUAACUGCUCYUAGGGUGACGGUACCUGAGAAGAAAGCCCCGGCUAACUACGUGCCAGCAGCCGCGGUAAUACGUAGGGGGCGAGCGUUGUCCGGAAUUAUUGGGCGUAAAGCGCGCGCAGGCGGCAAUGUAAGUUGGGUGUUUAAACCUAGGGCUCAACCUUGGGUCGCAUCCAAAACUGCAUAGCUUGAGUACAGAAGAGGAAAGUGGAAUUCCACGUGUAGCGGUGAAAUGCGUAGAGAUGUGGAGGAACACCAGUGGCGAAGGCGACUUUCUGGGCUGUAACUGACGCUGAGGCGC